UAGUGUGGAAUUCAGGUAACAAUCAAUACA
Molecule: non-coding RNA, 30 nt
Filed under: Homo sapiens (human)
Lineage: Eukaryota; Metazoa; Chordata; Mammalia; Primates; Hominidae
Source: RNAcentral